CCUGGCGGCCUUAGCGCGGUGGUCCCACCUGACCCCAUGCCGAACUCAGAAGUGAAACGCCGUAGCGCCGAUGGUAGUGUGGGGUCUC
This 88-nucleotide ribosomal RNA is filed under the name Escherichia coli. Lineage: Bacteria; Pseudomonadati; Pseudomonadota; Gammaproteobacteria; Enterobacterales; Enterobacteriaceae. RNAcentral also lists the same sequence under 7 other names. The record is from RNAcentral.